RNAcentral lists this ribosomal RNA (677 nucleotides) under uncultured bacterium. RNAcentral describes it as "bacterial SSU rRNA". It matches the Rfam family "Bacterial small subunit ribosomal RNA", at positions 567 to 1249 of the family's 1533-position model. The record is from RNAcentral.
GUCCGUAGGCGGUUUGGUAAGUCAGUGGUGAAAGCCCAUCGCUUAACGAUGGAACGGCCAUUGAUACUGCCAGACUUGAAUUACUAGGAAGUAACUAGAAUAUGUAGUGUAGCGGUGAAAUGCUUAGAUAUUACAUGGAAUACCAAUUGCGAAGGCAGGUUACUACUAGUGGAUUGACGCUGAUGGACGAAAGCGUGGGUAGCGAACAGGAUUAGAUACCCUGGUAGUCCACGCCGUAAACGAUGGAUACUAGCUGUUCGGGGCAACCUGAGUGGCUAAGCGAAAGUGAUAAGUAUCCCACCUGGGGAGUACGUUCGCAAGAAUGAAACUCAAAGGAAUUGACGGGGGCCCGCACAAGCGGUGGAGCAUGUGGUUUAAUUCGAUGAUACGCGAGGAACCUUACCAAGGCUUAAAUGUAGAUUGACCGUUUUGGAAACAGAACUUUCGCAAGACAAUUUACAAGGUGCUGCAUGGUUGUCGUCAGCUCGUGCCGUGAGGUGUCAGGUUAAGUCCUAUAACGAGCGCAACCCCUGUUGUUAGUUGCCAUCGAGUCUAGUCGGGAACUCUAACAAGACUGCCAGUGUAAAACUGUGAGGAAGGUGGGGAUGACGUCAAAUCAUCACGGCCCUUACGCCUUUGGGCUACACACGUGCUACAAUGGACGGUACAGAGAGCAG